UCAGCAGUCCAAAAUAUUAGUCAAUGCUCGAAAGAGUGAACUAGCUAACUGAAAUCAAUUAAAAAAAUUGAUAACAUAAGGGAAAAUAAUGAUAUUACCUUAUUAUUAGUGUCGUCCAAAACUGGUGCCAGAAGACUCGGUAAGGCCAGAGACACAAACGUUAAUCGUCUUAAUCAGGCGUAAAGGGUUUGUAGGCGGCUUUUAAUUUACUUAUAAAUCUUAUAAAAUAAGUUAAGAAUAAAAGCUAGAAUCAAAUAGAGGAUAUAUCAAAUAAUGCUUAGAGUAGGUCUGAUAUCCUUAGAUACUAAGUAGAAUAUUAAAGGCGAAAGCUUUUUUCCAUAAAUGAUUGACGCUCAGAAACGAAGGUGAGGAUAGGAAAUAGGAUUAGAUACCCAAAAUACCCCUCUCUGUCAACGAUGAAUGGUAGUUAUUAAUAAUAAAUUUAUUAUUAAUGGCAAUGUUAACACGAUAACCAUUCCGCCUUGUGAGUACAACUGCAAAGUUGAAAACAAAAAAAUUAGUCGGUUUCGGAGCAAACGAAGUGAAGCAUGUUAUUUAAUUCGAUAAUCCGCAAAAUGUAUAA
This 583-nucleotide ribosomal RNA is filed under the name Russula sp. RNAcentral's name for it is "SSU rRNA". It matches the Rfam family "Bacterial small subunit ribosomal RNA", at positions 348 to 973 of the family's 1533-position model. The record is from RNAcentral. Lineage: Eukaryota; Fungi; Basidiomycota; Agaricomycetes; Russulales; Russulaceae.